Molecule: small nuclear RNA, 112 nt
Filed under: Mus musculus (house mouse)
Lineage: Eukaryota; Metazoa; Chordata; Mammalia; Rodentia; Muridae
Source: RNAcentral
UUGCUCGUUUCAGCAGCAACAGCACGUGUACUAAAAUUGGAAUGCUGCAGACAAGAUUAGCUUGGUCCCUGGGCAAAGAUGACACAUAAGUAGUGAAGUGUUCCAUAUUUCU